CCUAAGUGGUGUUAAUUGGAAUGGCAGAUCCAAGUGAAUGUGAGAUGUGAUUGGAACUUCUCUCUGACUUUCAGAUUCUCAGAAAGUUGAACACUGAGACAGAAGUAAAGAGGGGGGUAGAAAUCUACUUGCAGGUCUCCCUUACCUGAAGGGUUCCAUCUUUGAAGAAGAGGGAGCUUCUCAUUAGACUACCACGAGUCAUAGCUAUCCUUUUACAUUAUGAGAAUAUCCUAGGAUGGAGAGAUUGGACCAUAAAUGAUGCACAACCUCAGCAGCACAACCUCAGAAGCAACAAACAUGGAAACAGAGUUAGUGCUGCAGACCACAAACUCUGCAGCAGGGGGCCCAGAACAGUGAGCAUCUGGUCCAUGACUGACAGCUUUCCUAUACAUCGCUCCGCGUUCCAGUUGAGGACCAACCAGACGGAGUCCAAUGCAGUCUUCAAAUGAACCACGUGUGAUGCUUCACAUCUUGUCAGCUCUUGUCAAUCUUUCCCUAACCAGCAACCAUGUAUAUAUCUUUGGAUGUGAGUGCCCAAGAAAGAGAGAAAACUGUGAUUUUCAGCACUUUGCAUGUCUUAAAUAUAAAGGAAUGAUUACAAAAUUUUUUCUUGGGGGCUGAUAUCACAGGAAGAAUGAAAAAGAAACAGAUCUGCAGGAAGCAAAGCAAAGCUUGCAAGCAGUUGGGAAACAAUCUGGAGAAGAGGAAUGAAUGCUUUUGUUGAGAACAAGGUGGAUUCCAUUAUAUCAUUCUUUCUCAAUAAACAUAAAUCAGAGUCAUAAACAUAAAGACAAUGCAACAGUGAUGCUGAGAAGUGAUAAAGAAUAUACAUGUAUAUGUAUAUGUAUAUGUAUAUGUAUAUGUAUAUGUAUAUGUAUAUGUAUAUGUAUAUGUAUAUGUAUAUAUGCAAUAGAUGUGUGAAACAAGGCAAAACAGCCAGUGCCACAAAACUGGUGACCCUAAGCCACUAUUGCAAGUAUACUCAUCGGCCUUUGCCGAGACAUUGGAAUUUCAGCUUCCCCACAGUGUAAAAAGUUUGCUUUGCAGAAAAAAGA
Cavia porcellus (domestic guinea pig) is the source of this 1055-nucleotide long non-coding RNA. RefSeq lists it as uncharacterized. NCBI's taxonomy places the organism in Eukaryota, Metazoa, Chordata, Mammalia, Rodentia, Caviidae. The record is from RefSeq and is a predicted model, not a curated record. The transcript is spliced from 3 exons.